AUUGAACGCUGGCGGCAGGCCUAACACAUGCAAGUCGAACGAGUGGCGGACGGGUGAGUAAUGUCUGGUAAACUGCCUGAUGGAGGGGGAUAACUACUGGAAACGGUAGCUAAUACCGCAUACCAUCGGAUGUUCCCAGAUGGGAUUAGCUAGUAGGUGGGGUAACGGCUCACAUAGGCGACGAUCCCUAGCGGGUCUGAGAGGAUGACCAGCCACACUGGAACUGAGAAACGGUCCAAACGCGUACGGGAGGCAGCAGGGGGGAAUAUUGCAAAAGGGGGGCAAGCCUGAUGCAGCCAUGCCGCGUGUAUGAAGAGGGCCUUCGGGUGGUAAAGUACUUUAAGCGGGGAGGCGUUACCCGAAGAGGAAGCACCGGCUAACUCCGUGCCAGCCGCCGCGGUAAUUC
Molecule: ribosomal RNA, 406 nt
Filed under: uncultured bacterium
Lineage: Bacteria
Description: partial 16S ribosomal RNA
Rfam family: Bacterial small subunit ribosomal RNA
Source: RNAcentral